RNAcentral lists this long non-coding RNA (375 nucleotides) under Gallus gallus (chicken). The record is from RNAcentral. Lineage: Eukaryota; Metazoa; Chordata; Aves; Galliformes; Phasianidae.
CUUUCCGGUAUUAGCCCCGCCCCUUCCGGUCCGCGAGCGUCACUUCCGCCGUGUCACGAUGGAGGAGAUCGGAGUGCUGUGCGAGAAGGCCCAGGAGGACCUCCCGGCGCUGCCCCGCCCCCACCCGGCGCUGCCCUUCCUGGGCCCCGAAGCCGAAGACCUCGAGGACCUCUACAGCCGAUACAAGAAGCUGCAGCAGGAGCUGGAGUUCCUGGAGGUGCAGGAGGAGUACAUAAAGGACGAGCAGAAGAACCUCAAGAAGGAAUUCCUGCACGCCCAGGAGGAGGUGAAGCGCAUCCAAAGCAUCCCAUUGGUCAUCGGGCAGUUCCUCGAGGCCGUGGAUCAGAACACCGCCAUCGUGGGAUCCACCACUGG